RNAcentral lists this ribosomal RNA (373 nucleotides) under Speleomantes ambrosii ambrosii. RNAcentral's name for it is "Hydromantes ambrosii ambrosii partial 12S ribosomal RNA". It matches the Rfam family "Bacterial small subunit ribosomal RNA", at positions 843 to 1384 of the family's 1533-position model. Lineage: Eukaryota; Metazoa; Chordata; Amphibia; Caudata; Plethodontidae. The record is from RNAcentral.
GCUUUAUUUUAAACUUUGGAAGCCCUCGCUAGAGUACUACAAGCCACAGCUUAAAACUCAAAGGACUUGGUGGUGCUCUACACCCACCUAGAGGAGCCUGUUCUAUAAUCGAUACCCCCCGAUAAACCUCACCUCUUUUUGCUAAUUCAGCCUAUAUACCACCGCCCCCAGCUCACCUCUUAAGAGAAUAACAGUAAGCAAAAUAAUUUUAAAUAAAAAAGUCAGGUCAAGGUGUAGCACAUAAAAAGGAAAGAAAUGGGCUACAUUUUUUAUUUUUAAAAAAUACGGAAUAUUUUAUGAAAUAAAAUACAAAGGAGGAUUUAGAAGUAAAAAGAAAAGAGAGAGUUCUUUUUAAGCCGGCAAUAGAGUGCGC